CGGCCGGGCGCAGUGGCUCACGCCUGUAAUCCCAGCACUUUGGGAGGCCGAGGUGGGUGGAUCACGAGGUCAGGAGCUCGAGACCAUCCUGGCUAACACGGUGAAACCCCGUCUCUACUAAAAAUACAAAAAAAUUAGCCGGGCCUGGUGGCGGGCGCCUGUAGUUCCAGCUACUCGGUAGGCUGAGGCAGGAGAAUGGCGCGAACCCGGGAGGCGGAGCUUGCAGUGAGCCAACAUCGCGCCACUGCACUCCAGCCUGGGCGACAGAGCCAGAC
RNAcentral lists this long non-coding RNA (275 nucleotides) under Homo sapiens (human). Its description in RNAcentral is "HSALNT0300607". Lineage: Eukaryota; Metazoa; Chordata; Mammalia; Primates; Hominidae. The record is from RNAcentral.